This 284-nucleotide unclassified non-coding RNA is filed under the name Hevea brasiliensis (rubber tree). Lineage: Eukaryota; Viridiplantae; Streptophyta; Magnoliopsida; Malpighiales; Euphorbiaceae. The record is from RNAcentral.
GUGCUCCUUUAUUCUCUGUCCCUAUAUUGCCAAAAUAAGUGGCUUAAUAUAUCCACUUCUACAACUUAUUUAACACUUAUCAAUUAAAGAACAGGUCAUGAAUGUAAGGAGUUGUCAUCAUCUGAAGUAACGAUAAGUGAUGUGCCCAGAUCCUUCGGUUUCCCUCAGAUAACUAAAAUAAGAUAUCUAUCAAAAGAAGGAUUGCAAGUAUUCAUUAUUCAUGCAGAACCUGCAUCACAUCCGAAAUAUGUCUCUGAAUUUUCUUCAUACAUGCCUUCCUGAAA